Molecule: long non-coding RNA, 382 nt
Filed under: Ananas comosus (pineapple)
Lineage: Eukaryota; Viridiplantae; Streptophyta; Magnoliopsida; Poales; Bromeliaceae
Description: long non-coding RNA (ACOM_LNC015147)
Source: RNAcentral
AAAGGGGGAGAGCGUGGAUAAACAGGCAUUGAACUAGAGCAGAGGAUGAUGAGUUCAAAAACAAAGGUGUGGAGAUAUGAACAAAGGAGGAGAAGGUAGAAGAAUUUAAUAAAAAUCUUUUUGGAAUGAAUUGUUUUGCAGGAAAUCAAGACUUCAAGACUCCUCGUUGCGUCUAAGUCAUAGAGUCUGUUUUAGAAGUUUUGAUGUAAUUUUGAGUUUCAAAUUGUAUUUGGAUUACACGCGAGGGGUUCGAUGUUUUGGUGAUGACAUUGAGCUUCGUUUUUUCUUUAAAUUGUAAUUUGUGAGUUUAUGUGUGUUUUGUCACGAAAUUGCCAAAGGGGGAGAUUGUUAGGUCCUAUGUGUUGGCAAGUUUCGUGGGUCG